Molecule: RNA transcript, 1911 nt
Organism: Papaver somniferum (opium poppy)
Lineage: Eukaryota; Viridiplantae; Streptophyta; Magnoliopsida; Ranunculales; Papaveraceae
Exons: 13
Source: RefSeq, a predicted model, not a curated record
UUCAAAUACACAUGAUUUGAUAGCCAAUUUCAUUUCUCCCUCAAUUUGCUUCUUAUUAUUCUAUGGAAUCAAAACCUAGCACAGAGUUUCGAGCGCGAUGAAAGGGAGAUUCGAUUCCAGGUGAUCUAAAUUUAGUAUUGUAGUUCUAUCAUGUGAUUAUCCUGAUAUGAAGUGUGUAUAUGUUUUAGCUUUACUGGAAGGAUUUGACAUAAGGUUCCUAUCAAUUCUCAACUGCUCAUCUCGUUCUUCUUCUUGGAUUAACUGGGUCUGGGGGUUGUGCAAAAUAAAACUGCUAUAAGGUUGUUGCUGCCUCUUCGAUCUGGAAAACCUAUUGGAGCAGAUUUCUUGGAGAAAGAACUCAAAUUUGAAGAUAGGUUGCUCACAUUGCAGAUUCUUUUUCACCCAGCUAUGAAGACUUGGAGCCUAACCUUCUGAAUGUUUAUCUCACAGGUGUAGUAGGCAUACUGUAGACAAUAAUCAUUAAUCAACAACUACAUAGAUCUAGUGGACAGCCAUGCCGGAUACAUGAACUCACCAUUAAGAAUCUUAAAGGUAAGAAAUUGAACGUUCCUUUGGGGUUCAACUACACACCAGGUGGGGAAUGAUCCAAUUGGUCCAAAAUCCAACCUAGGUCCUGCAACGCGGUUGCUGUAGGCUUCACUUUUGUGAAGAAUUAUUAAGUACUGCCGGCUAAUACUUACACCAACAAAGCGAUUUUUCAAUUCCAAUCCCAGUCCCACAAGUAUAAGCGUGGAGCAACGUCAAAUGGAAUCAGUGGUGGUGUUUUCUGUUACCUCGAAUGAGACUGAUAUGAAAUGAUCUUGGUUAGGUGGUGUCUGUAUACAAGUCUUAGGCAUGAAUGGAGAUGGAAUCGAGCUUACGGAUGGUACCCUGCAAAUAUCUAGCUGGUACUUUAAUUUCAUUUGGAGCAUUGAUGUAGUAUCUAGCAUCCUCAACAGAUUUUGGGGAUUUUGGGAUGUGGAUUUAACUUGGGUCUAAUUGAAGUUCUUGAUAAAAUAAGUGCAUAACCCCUGCACCAACCCCUGUAGUACGUAAGAAGUAAAGAUACAUUAUAAUAUGUUUCGUUGCUGUUGUACAAGUCCGUAGAUUUUUCAUUUUAGCCGUCCUUCCCAAGCAAGGUACGAUUUCUGUCCAGUAUAGGUUACGGAGAAACCCUAAUAGCCAUUCAAGAAAAGAUCUCACAAUUCAGGAUACAGAUCAAUACCAUAAUCUUGCAUUGACGGCUACUUUUAUUGCUCCAAAAGGAAAUGGUAAAAAUAGGCUUUUGGAUCAUAUGCUCUGGUGUUUCCUUGCCACGGGUUAUCAAACCAAAUCAGCCAGAGAAUAUGUGAUGUUACUUUCUUGGAUCAGUUUUGCAAGAAAAAAUCUGAAGCUUUAAGAGUGCGGUGGACUAUAGAUUGCAAAAAUGUCUUGCUGCUUUUGAGGUGGAUGAUAUCUAGAGAGAAGAGCAUAAAUGUAGAUUAUCUGGAACAUAUGCUCAAAAGAAACUAAUGAAAGGGCACAGAACCUUGAAUCAUUUCAUUACAAACCAUUACUUGGGUGCGCAGAGCUCAAAUGGUUCCGUUCUUUGUGCAGGCUAUUUAUCGUAAAGAGAAUCCUACCUCUCAAGUUUCGCUUCUCUCAAAGACGAUGAAAUUCAAGAUCGAGAAGAUGAUUAAACGAUGUGACCACAGUAACAGGCAUGAGGAGGAUCCAACAUUUUAAUUAUGAUACAGCGAUUAGACUUGCUUGAUAGUACAUGAUAUUACUCUAUCCACACAGAUAUUUUGUAUAACAGUUGUAAUGAAGUUUGAGACAAGUUUAGUGGUACGCAUAGUAGAAAGGAACCAUCGACAUGAUAUAUGAUCUUAAAAACGCAUUAUAAAGCAAACUCUGUCGGCAUGUUUUAUU